AUUGAACGCUGGCUACAGGCCUAACACAUGCAAGUCGAGCGGAUGAAGCGAGCUAGCUCCUUUAUUCAGCGGCGGACGGGUGCGUGAUGCCGAAAAAUCUGCCUGGUAGUGGGGGAUAACGUCCGGAAACGGGCGCUAAUACCGCAUACGUCCUGAGGGAGAGAGUGGGGGAUCUUCGGACCUCACGCUAUCAUAUGAGCCUAGGUCGGAUUAGCUAGUUGGUGGGGUAAAGGCCUACCAAGGCGACGAUCCGUAACUGGUCUGAGAGGAUGAUCAGUCCCCCUGGAACUGAGACACGGUCCAGACUCCAACGGGAGGCAGGAGUGGGGAAUAUUGGACAAUGGGCGAAAGCCUGAUCCAGACAUGCCGCGUGUGUGAAGAAGGUCUUCGGAUUUUAAAGCACUUUAAGUUGGGAGGAAGGGCAGUAAGUUAAUACCUUGCUGUUUUGACGUUACCAACAGAAUAAGCACCGGCUAACUUCGUG
This 484-nucleotide ribosomal RNA is filed under the name uncultured bacterium. RNAcentral describes it as "partial 16S ribosomal RNA". It matches the Rfam family "Bacterial small subunit ribosomal RNA", at positions 30 to 507 of the family's 1533-position model. The record is from RNAcentral.